UCUUAGCAAACUACACUUCGCGUGCUUUAAGACCCAGGAGCGCCCUCGUGGUCUGCAGUUGGCGAAGCCGACAGGUUCCCUAGCGGAAUGUCACAAUGGACUGCACCACCGAGAGCUGGCAAGGGGCGGGGGGAAAGAGAGAGAUAGAGACUUUUUAAACAUUAUCUAUAUGAAAGAUAUGCGGAUGCACUGAAUCCACAGUGCCGAAACAUGAGUGAGCCUACCAGCGCCAGAUCACCACCAGCUGAACAACAACAGCAGCAUUCCAGUGGCAUAGAUUUCCAAAGGCGUUUGCAUUUUAGUCUUGCAGCUUUAACUACUCAUCCUUACUACCCACCCAUACACCCCCGAGGAAAAUCGCUUUAAAGAACACUGACACAUGUACAUCGUACUUCUGCCAAAGGCGAUGGCGCUUUCCCUUCAUGACAUGCAGAGCUUCACCUGUUGAUUUAUGCAUAGCAAAUCCAUGUCAAAGUAGAAAGA
Molecule: long non-coding RNA, 483 nt
Organism: Podarcis raffonei (Aeolian wall lizard)
Lineage: Eukaryota; Metazoa; Chordata; Lepidosauria; Squamata; Lacertidae
Exons: 2
Source: RefSeq, a predicted model, not a curated record